RNAcentral lists this ribosomal RNA (407 nucleotides) under uncultured bacterium. RNAcentral describes it as "partial 16S ribosomal RNA". It matches the Rfam family "Bacterial small subunit ribosomal RNA", at positions 30 to 526 of the family's 1533-position model. The record is from RNAcentral.
AUUGAACGCUGGCGGCAGGCCUAACACAUGCAAGUCGAGCGGAUCGGCUGACGGGUGAGUAAUGCCUAGGAAUCUUCAUGGUAGUGUGGGAUAACGUCCGGAAACGGGCGCUAAUACCGCAUACUAUCAGAUGAGCCUAGGUCGGAUUAGGUAGUUGGUGGGGUAAAGGCCUACCAAGGCGACGAUCCGUAACUGGUCUGAGAGGAUGAUCAGUCAACCUGGAACGGAGCAACGGUCCAGAAUCCUACGUGAGGCAGAAGUGGGAAAUAUUGGACAAUGGGAGAAAGCCUGAUCCAGCCAUGCCGCGUGUGUGAAGAAGGUCUUCGGAUUGUAAAGCAUUUUAAGUUGGGAGGCGGUACCAACAGAAUAAGCACCGGCGAACUUCGUGCCAGCAGCCGCGGUAAUUC